RNAcentral lists this ribosomal RNA (410 nucleotides) under Salinivibrio sp. EAGSL. Its description in RNAcentral is "bacterial SSU rRNA". It matches the Rfam family "Bacterial small subunit ribosomal RNA", at positions 1126 to 1533 of the family's 1533-position model. Lineage: Bacteria; Pseudomonadati; Pseudomonadota; Gammaproteobacteria; Vibrionales; Vibrionaceae. The record is from RNAcentral.
UAAUGGUGGGAACUCCAGGGAGACUGCCGGUGAUAAACCGGAGGAAGGUGGGGACGACGUCAAGUCAUCAUGGCCCUUACGAGUAGGGCUACACACGUGCUACAAUGGCAGAUACAGAGGGCAGCGAGACAGCGAUGUUUAGCGAAUCCCUUAAAGUUUGUCGUAGUCCGGAUUGGAGUCUGCAACUCGACUCCAUGAAGUCGGAAUCGCUAGUAAUCGUGGAUCAGAAUGCCACGGUGAAUACGUUCCCGGGCCUUGUACACACCGCCCGUCACACCAUGGGAGUGGGCUGCACCAGAAGUAGAUAGCUUAACCUUCGGGAGGGCGUUUACCACGGUGUGGUUCAUGACUGGGGUGAAGUCGUAACAAGGUAGCCCUAGGGGAACCUGGGGCUGGAUCACCUCCUUACU